This 1800-nucleotide long non-coding RNA is filed under the name Citrus sinensis (sweet orange). RNAcentral describes it as "long non-coding RNA (CSIN_LNC003033)". Lineage: Eukaryota; Viridiplantae; Streptophyta; Magnoliopsida; Sapindales; Rutaceae. The record is from RNAcentral.
UUACUAUAGAAUGGGCGCUGGCGGAACUAAUUAAUCACCCAGAUAUCAUGAAUAAAGCAAGAGGAGAGAUUGACGUUGUAGUCGGAAAAAACAGAUUAGUAGACGAAUCAGAUAUUAGCAACCUCCCUUACUUUCAAGCCAUAGUAAAGGAGACACUUCGGCUUCACCCCACUGGCCCAAUGAUCGUGAGAGAGUCAAUUGAAAGCUGUACCAUCAAUGGCUAUGAGAUUCCGGCAAAGACCAGAGUGUUCAUUAAUGUGUGGGCAAUAGGCAGGGACCCGAACCACUGGGAAAAGCCACUUGAAUUCCACCCUGAAAGGUUCAUUGGUGAAGAUGGAAAGACCCAGUUGGAUGUCAGGGGCCAGCAUUAUCAUUAUAUUCCAUUUGGUAGUGGAAGAAGAGCCUGCCCCGGAAUCUCUUUGGCACUACAUAUGGUUCAGACAACCCUUGCUACUAUGAUUCAGUGCUUUGAUUGGAAGGUUAAUGGAGGAGAUGGCGCUACAGUUGACAUGGAAGAAGCCCCUGGCCUAACUCUUCCGAGGGCUUGUCCGUUAAUUUGUGUCCCGCUCACUAGGCUUAAUCCAUUUCCAUCAUUGGAAUGAUUGCAUUCAACAAUAAUGUAAAUGCGCCAUGAUGUAAGAGUAUAGAACUUGAUCAAUUACAAAUAUCAAACACAUUAGAAACCAAACAUGCAUGAUGCAAGGACCUUACUGGUUGUAAAAAUGGAAUCAAUAUCCAAAGCAAUAAGAUAUAUGUGAGUUUAAACUUCACUGCAGUAUAAUUAAUCAUGAUUCAAUAAGAUAUAUGUCAUGAGUAAAUUAUUUAUAUAAUAUGUUGGGAACUUGUCCAGACAAGUAAUGUAAUAGUUGUAACAAUAUUUCUCAAGUCUACAAGGUAAAAGACACAGAAAUUUCUUCUCCCUAAAGCCAACACAGCUUCCCUUGCUCUUAUAUAAAUACCUUCCUAAGAUAAACAACUUAAUCUGACAGCAAGCAUGGCUAUGAUCCAAAGAUAUUUCUAAAGAAACUUGUUUUCAUUUCUUAAAUAAAACAUUAUACACUAAGAGUUAUUUAUAGAUGCAGAGGUUAUAGAGGAGAGAUUGACGUUGUAGUCGGAAAAAACAGAUUAGUAGACGAAUCAGAUAUUAGCAACCUCCCUUACUUUCAAGCCAUAGUAAAGGAGACACUUCGGCUUCACCCCACUGGCCCAAUGAUCGUGAGAGAGUCAAUUGAAAGCUGUACCAUCAAUGGCUAUGAGAUUCCGGCAAAGACCAGAGUGUUCAUUAAUGUGUGGGCAAUAGGCAGGGACCCGAACCACUGGGAAAAGCCACUUGAAUUCCACCCUGAAAGGUUCAUUGGUGAAGAUGGAAAGACCCAGUUGGAUGUCAGGGGCCAGCAUUAUCAUUAUAUUCCAUUUGGUAGUGGAAGAAGAGCCUGCCCCGGAAUCUCUUUGGCACUACAUAUGGUUCAGACAACCCUUGCUACUAUGAUUCAGUGCUUUGAUUGGAAGGUUAAUGGAGGAGAUGGCGCUACAGUUGACAUGGAAGAAGCCCCUGGCCUAACUCUUCCGAGGGCUUGUCCGUUAAUUUGUGUCCCGCUCACUAGGCUUAAUCCAUUUCCAUCAUUGGAAUGAUUGCAUUCAACAAUAAUGUAAAUGCGCCAUGAUGUAAGAGUAUAGAACUUGAUCAAUUACAAAUAUCAAACACAUUAGAAACCAAACAUGCAUGAUGCAAGGACCUUACUGGUUGUAAAAAUGGAAUCAAUAUCCAAAGCAAUAAGAUAUAUGUGAGUUUAAACUUCA